RNAcentral lists this non-coding RNA (45 nucleotides) under Schistosoma margrebowiei. Lineage: Eukaryota; Metazoa; Platyhelminthes; Trematoda; Strigeidida; Schistosomatidae. The record is from RNAcentral.
AUCCAGCUGAUGAGUCCCAAAUAGAACGAAGCGCCUGUACUGGAU